Molecule: unclassified non-coding RNA, 165 nt
Filed under: uncultured fungus
Lineage: Eukaryota; Fungi
Description: sequence contains ITS1, 5.8S rRNA gene
Source: RNAcentral
CCGAGGUGCCUGCCCCCCGUGGGUAGAAUCUCCAACCCGUGCUGAUACUGCCUGUUGUUGCUUUGGUGGGUGCCGUCGGGCGCCGUCGGGCGCCCUUCCACCCACCAGAGGUCCAUCAUAACGCUGUCGUAUACGUGACGUCUGAGUUCAAAUUUAAAUUUGUCA